UUGUAGUGGAGUCAUGUAUUUAGUUGUCAGAUCCUUUAAAGGGUUAGACGGAAAUUGGGUAUUCGGCUAAGGCAUGGGCCUGGCACGGGUGCCGAGCCGAGCUGGUCGCCUAGCGGAGUGUCCUGUGGCGAGAUUGCUUCUGGUCGGCGCUCUUUGGUCGGGCGCCUCUCUGGUCGGCGCUCUUUGGUCGGGCGCCUCUCUGGUCGGCGCUCUUUGGUCGGGCGCUUCUGAAAUGGCAUGACUUGGGUUUUCCCCCAACAGUGUCUAUCUCUUUUCGUGAGAAAAGAUGAAGAAGACUGGCAACACUGAAAGAAAAUAGUACCUUAACCAGUAUUCAUUCAUUAAAAACACAGUUAUGAUUUUUUUGGUGUAGAAAAAGCUAAAUCCUGUUCUUGCAACUUGUAUUUCUUUACUAGUUUUAAAUCUUUGUAUCAUAAUAUUUGAUCGUCAAUUUUAAAUUAUGGCCAAACUAGGCUAAUAUAGUUUCUAACCUUGAACGUCUUUUGGAUAGGUCAAGGCGCAGAGCCGUGCUAUAUUGACGUUUGCAUUUCUGGGCGUCCCUGCUACUGCUGCCCAGCCCAUGGACGCGGGUCACGCUGUUAUAAUACGCGAGCGGCAUGCGUGGCCGACUGCAACCCCCCUGCAGGAAACCUUUACCAGACUCCAUGAGUUCAAGAUUCGAAAUAUGCACUUGUCCUCAUGAAUAAUGAUCCAUGUGUGCUGUAAUUGCUUCACAUGCCUUUUUAGAAAGUAAUAAUAAUCCAGUUAUGUUAUAUAUUAUCAGAAAUGGCUGUCUAUCUGUACGUGAUAUAAUCCAUAACAUCACCCAACAAAACUAGCCAAAAAAUAUUAUUUAUGAUUAAGGGCUCGUUUGGUUCGCAGGAAAAGGAGGAGGAAAAGUGUGGUCAACGGAAAAGUAAUAAAAUGCCUCUUGUUUGGUUGGAGUUUUCAAAGGAGAGAGAUAGGAAAGUUGUAUUCCCAUAGGAAUAUGAUUCCCACAUUUCAUGG
RNAcentral lists this long non-coding RNA (1008 nucleotides) under Phoenix dactylifera (date palm). Its description in RNAcentral is "long non-coding RNA (PDAC_LNC003972)". Lineage: Eukaryota; Viridiplantae; Streptophyta; Magnoliopsida; Arecales; Arecaceae. The record is from RNAcentral.